GUCUACGGCCAUACCACUCUGAACAUGCCCGAUCUCAUCUGACCUUGGAAGCUAAGCAGGAUUGGGCCUUGUUAGUUUCCUUCUCCAAUAAUGAGAUUGAUGACU
Molecule: ribosomal RNA, 105 nt
Organism: Cricetulus griseus (Chinese hamster)
Lineage: Eukaryota; Metazoa; Chordata; Mammalia; Rodentia; Cricetidae
Source: Ensembl